Molecule: long non-coding RNA, 1247 nt
Organism: Homo sapiens (human)
Lineage: Eukaryota; Metazoa; Chordata; Mammalia; Primates; Hominidae
Product: long intergenic non-protein coding RNA 1721
Source: Ensembl
GCACUGAGACUUAUUAUCCUGCAGCUUCUGGAGCCCUUCGACUGCUGCUGUUUGAAGAAGCCCAGGCUAGCUUAUUGGAUGGUGAGAGGGAUACGGCCUGGUCACCCCUAUGCCCUGGCCCUCAGCGUGCCAGAUGGGACCAUCUAGUUGCAGGGAAACAAGCUGGGGGCUCCCCUUGUUCUACAUUAUGAGAAAGCUGUUCUGGAGCUUGGAGGAUGUGCUCCACCAAAACAAGGGGCUAAACUGAGAAACAGGAAGACGAGAGAUCCAGAAAAGGAGGUAAAACUUGAGAGAGAGAGUUAAAGUGGAUCCCCAGCAUGACAAAAUGACCCUAGGAUGGCAGCUGUGCUCCAGUUCCAGAGGAUGAGCAGUUUUAAAUGAAACAGGCUACAGAGACCCUGGGGAGAUGUUAAGAAAAUGCAGUUGGUGGAAUACCUGUUACAGGUGUUUUCAGAGACUCUGCAACCUGGACAGAGCUUAAGGAGGCCUCUGGGUCCAACCUACUUCUGAGCCACGGAAGACAAGUGUGAGCAGUCUUAUCCUUAAUCACCCUCCAGGGCUGAGGGGACGCAGCUAAGGCCAGUGCUCACUGGACUCCUUUAGAUACAGUGCCUUCUUGCUGCAUCCUCUGGAGAGAAGGAGCCCUGCGUCCUCAGGGAAGGCAGAAGGGCAGGCAAGCCGGAUACUGUGAUGGUGCCUCUUCCAUUCACAAGGGAGGAGCCCUCACAGCCUUGUCAUCACCUCCUAAAGGCCUUGCCUUUUAAUUUGAUCACAUGGGCCAUGAAGUUUCAACACCUGAAUUUUGGCAGAAAUGCAUUCAAACCACAGCAGACCCAUUAUCCUAUUUCUAAGGAACCUGGGAUAAGACAAGUCCAUAGGACAGGCAUGGACAAGCGUCCUGAGCCCUGGGGCCAGGGGAAAUCCAAGGUAACAAGGGAAAUUGGCGAUCCCAGCCAGGUGCAUGGCUAGAGCAGUUCUUUCCUUCGGAAGGGCAGCGAUGGAAAUUUCAGCUCUACUUUUUCCUUUUCCCGAGCUGUGUGAUCUUGAGCAGCUUCCUUGCAGCUCAUCCUUCAUGUCCUAAAACAGAUGAUACAGCAACAUCAGCAAGGUGGCAGACUAAGGAACUUCAGACACUACUUACUACCCCCAGAAACAUUUUUUUAAAAACAAUUAGAGGACCUUUGGAAAAUAGUGAAAAGGUACAGGAGCCAAGCAACUGCCCAUUCAAGAAAAAGCAACAUUCAAAA